CAGUAGCCGCGGGAAUACGAAGGGGGCUAGCGUUGUUCGGAUUUACUGGGCGUAAAGGGUGCGUAGGCGGACUGAUAAGUCAGGGGUGAAAUCCCAAGGCUCAACCUUGGGACUGCCUUUGAUACUGUUAGUCUUGAGUUCGAGAGAGGUGAGUGGAACUGCGAGUGUAGAGGUGAAAUUCGUAGAUAUUCGCAAGAACACCAGUGGCGAAGGCGGCUCACUGGCUCGAAACUGACGCUGAGGCACGAAAGCGUGGGGAGCAAACAGGAUUAGAUACCCCUGUAGUCCCUGUCUCUUAUAC
This 301-nucleotide ribosomal RNA is filed under the name uncultured bacterium. RNAcentral describes it as "partial 16S ribosomal RNA". It matches the Rfam family "Bacterial small subunit ribosomal RNA", at positions 509 to 807 of the family's 1533-position model. The record is from RNAcentral.